RNAcentral lists this transfer RNA (73 nucleotides) under Lates calcarifer (barramundi perch). It matches the Rfam family "tRNA". From Rfam's summary of the family: Transfer RNA (tRNA) molecules are approximately 80 nucleotides in length. Their secondary structure includes four short double-helical elements and three loops (D, anti-codon, and T loops). Lineage: Eukaryota; Metazoa; Chordata; Actinopteri; Centropomidae. The record is from Rfam by way of RNAcentral.
UCCUCGUUAGUAUAGUGGUGAGUAUCCCCGCCUGUCACGCGGGAGACCGGGGGUUCGAUUCCCCGACGGGGAG